RNAcentral lists this ribosomal RNA (253 nucleotides) under uncultured bacterium. RNAcentral describes it as "partial 16S ribosomal RNA". It matches the Rfam family "Bacterial small subunit ribosomal RNA", at positions 99 to 353 of the family's 1533-position model. The record is from RNAcentral.
CGAACGGGUGAGUAAUGCGUGACCGACCUGCCCCAUACACCGGAAUAGCUCCUGGAAACGGGUGGUAAUGUCGGAUGCUCCAGUUGGAUGCAUGUCCUUCUGGGAAAGAUUCAUCGGUAUGGGAUGGGGUCGCGUCCUAUCAGCUUGAUGGCGGGGUAACGGCCCACCAUGGCUUCGACGGGUAGCCGGCCUGAGAGGGCGACCGGCCACAUUGGGACUGAGAUACGGCCCAGACUCCUAGGGAGGCAGCAUG